GGCUUGACGGAAAUAUACUUUUUUAUUAUUAUAAUAUUGAAUUUAAUUUUUGAGUUAAAAAGCUUAAAUUUUUGAAAGGGACGAGAAGACCCUAUAGAAUUUUAUAGUUAAUAUUGAAUAUAAAUUAUUUGAUUGGGGUGAUUAAAGAUAAACUUCUUUUUUUAUUUCAUAUUAUAUGAAUUUUUGAUCCUAAAUUUUAGAUAGAAAGAUAAAAUUACCUUAGGGAUAACAGCAUAAUUUUUUUAAAAAGAUCUUAUUAAUAGAAAAGAUUAUGACCUCGAUGUUGAAUUAAGAUAAUAUUUAGGUGUAGAAGUUUAAAUAUUAAGUCUGUUCGACUUUAAAUUUUACAUGAUUUGAGUUCAAACCGGCGUGAGCCAGGUUGGUUUCUAUCUUUUCAAAUUUU
Molecule: ribosomal RNA, 403 nt
Filed under: Euphyllura canariensis
Lineage: Eukaryota; Metazoa; Arthropoda; Insecta; Hemiptera; Liviidae
Description: partial large subunit ribosomal RNA
Rfam family: Bacterial large subunit ribosomal RNA (bases 74-396)
Source: RNAcentral